UACGAAUGGGGCAAGCGUUGUUCGGAAUCACUGGGCUUAAAGCGUGCGUAGGCGGACUCACAAGUCAGAAGUGAAAGCCCUGGGCUCAACCCAGGAACUGCUUUUGAAACUGUAAGUCUAGAAUCCUGGAGAGGUUGGGAGAAUUCCGAGUGUAGAGGUGAAAUUCGCAGAUAUUCGGAGGAACACCAGUGGCGUAGGCGCCCAACUGGACAGGUAUUGACGCUCAGGCACGAAAGCGUGGGGAGCAAACAGG
This 253-nucleotide ribosomal RNA is filed under the name uncultured bacterium. RNAcentral's name for it is "partial 16S ribosomal RNA". It matches the Rfam family "Bacterial small subunit ribosomal RNA", at positions 524 to 776 of the family's 1533-position model. The record is from RNAcentral.